UGCGCGAAAGCGUGACGGGGGAACCCCAAGUGCCGUUGAUCUUUGAUCGACGGCUUUUCGGAAGUUUAGGGAGCUUCCGGAAUAAGGGCUGGGUAAGACGGGUGCCAGCCGCCGCGGUAAUACCCGCAGCCCAAGUAGAAAGGUCGCGAUUAUUGGGCCUAAAGCGCUCGUAGCCGGGCGAGCAAGUCCCUUGUGAAAUCGGGCCGCUUUAACGGUUCGGCUUGCAAGGGUAUACUGCUUGUCUUGAGGCCGGGAGAGGUCGGAGGUACUCCGGGGGUAGCGGUGAAAUGCUGUAAUCCUCGGGGGACCACCAGUGGCGAAGGCGUCCGACCAGAACGGGCCUGACGGUGAGGGGCGAAGGCUAGGGGAGCGAACGGGAUUAGAUACCCCGGUAGUCCUAGCCGUAAAGCAUGCGGGCCAGAUGUCUGGCGCUCCUUGAGGGCGCCAUGUGCCGGAGGGAAGCCGUUAAGCCCGCCGCCUGGGAAGUACGGUCGCAAGGCUGAAACUUACAGAUAUUGGCGGGGGAGCACCACAAGGGGUGGGACCUGCGGUUCAAUUGGAUUCAACGCCGGAAAACUCACCAGGGGCGACAGUUGGUUGAAGGCCAGGUUGACGACCUUGCCGGACUAGCUGAGAGGUGGUGCAUGGCCGUCGUCAGCUCGUACCGUGAGGCGUCCUGUCAAGUCAGGCAACGAGCGAGAUCCUCGCCCUUAGUUGCCAUCAGUGGGAAGCUGGGCACUCUAGGGGGACCGCUGGCGCUAAGCCAGAGGAAGGUGAGGGCGACGGUAGGUCAGUAUGCCCCGAAACCCCUGGGCCACACGCGGGUCACAAUGCGCAGGACAAUGGGAUGCAACCCCGUAAGGGGAAGCCAAGCCCCUAAACCUGCGCUCGGUUCGGAUCGAGGGCUGUAACUCGCCCUCGUGAAGCUGGAAUCCCUAGUAAUCGCGUGCCAACACCGCGCGGUGAAUACGUCCCUGCUUCUUGCACACACCGCCCGUCAAGCCACUCGAGUAGGGCCUGGAUGAGAUCCGAUCCAUGUUGGGCUGAUUGAAUCC
This 1055-nucleotide ribosomal RNA is filed under the name uncultured archaeon. RNAcentral describes it as "bacterial SSU rRNA". It matches the Rfam family "Archaeal small subunit ribosomal RNA", at positions 356 to 1410 of the family's 1478-position model. The record is from RNAcentral.